CCUACGGGUGGCAGCAGUGGGGAAUAUUGGGCAAUGGGCGCAAGCCUGACCCAGCAACGCCGCGUGAAGGAAGAAGGCUUUCGGGUUGUAAACUUCUUUUAUCAGGGACGAAGCAAGUGACGGUACCUGAUGAAUAAGCCACGGCUAACUACGUGCCAGCAGCCGCGGUAAUACGUAGGUGGCAAGCGUUAUCCGGAUUUACUGGGUGGAAAGGGCGUGUAGGCGGGAGUGCAAGUCAGAUGUGAAAACUAUGGGCUCAACCCAUAGGCUGCCUUUGAAACUGUACUUCUUGAGUGCUGGGGGGGGAAAUGGAAUUCCGGGGGGAGCGGGGGAAUGCGUAGGUAUAAGGAGGAACACCAGGGGGGAAGGGGGAUUUGUGGAAAGUAACUGACGCUGAGGCGGGAAAGCGUGGGGAGCAAACAGGAUUAGAUACCCCAGUAGUC
RNAcentral lists this ribosomal RNA (443 nucleotides) under uncultured bacterium. Its description in RNAcentral is "partial 16S ribosomal RNA". It matches the Rfam family "Bacterial small subunit ribosomal RNA", at positions 338 to 795 of the family's 1533-position model. The record is from RNAcentral.